CACACCUACACAUUCUGAGUCAGUUAAUGGGACAGGAAAAAGUAAAAGGAAGCUUAUGAUAGAAGUAGAAUGUAACAAGCGUGGAGGGACUUACACAACACAAGGCCGAUGCAUCAUGGUUGGACCUUCAGGUUCUUCUCAGAGCAGCUAUUCAGGCAGUCAGG
Long non-coding RNA from Pipra filicauda (Wire-tailed manakin), 164 nucleotides. RefSeq lists it as uncharacterized. The record is from RefSeq and is a predicted model, not a curated record. Lineage: Eukaryota; Metazoa; Chordata; Aves; Passeriformes; Pipridae. The transcript has 4 exons.